This 1778-nucleotide long non-coding RNA is filed under the name Lepisosteus oculatus (spotted gar). RNAcentral describes it as "lncRNA (ENSLOCG00000022969.1)". Lineage: Eukaryota; Metazoa; Chordata; Actinopteri; Semionotiformes; Lepisosteidae. The record is from RNAcentral.
CGACAGCUUCACGCAAGGCCACCGAGAGCCAACAGGCUGAAAAACACCGGCGGUGCCCGGUAACAGAAUUGACAAUGUGGCGCCUCAUGUACACGUCUGAAGAGGGAAGCGCCGGUGCCUUUUUCUCUGAAGUAAAAUUUUCCACAAGUAGAGUUUUCCGACUCUGCUGCUGCCACCACCGCAUUCUGACGGUAAACCAGCAGGCUGGGCGACCGGCCACAUUUUUAGGUUUUACCUUGGAUUGCCUGGCUGGUGGCAGCCAUUACCGAGCCCCGCUGACAGGAUUCAUGGAGGCUCCCGUUUGUAUCGUGCUCAGGUGUCGUUGGGUUCAGCCCAACCUGAGGAACACUCUACAGUAUGCCCGGGUUUGGUCGGGUGAGGAAGCUCCUAAGCGCCUCUCUCGGCUAGGGGCGCUACACCGCCGCACGCCGCCGCCGCUCCAAGCCCGUGGAGAGCGCAGGCGUGCCCGCGCACACGGAGACGGGACCUGCAGUCAACAGGGAUCACGCCCCAUCAAAAGCUGACACUGUGGCCACACGGAAGGCGAAUAUGAUCAAGCGGACUUUAGCCCACUCGCGACACAGGAUCACUCAGAGGAAGACCUGGUAUCCGGGUUCACCAGACCAUAGGACAGGCCACCCAGACCCAUCCAGAUUCACCGAUUGCUGGCAGCUCAUUUUCCUCGGAUGAUUUUAUCCACGCCCUUCUUGAAGUUCUUUAGGGAAUCAGUUUUAACAGCAUGGCUUGGCUAUUUGUUCCAUUCCCCCACAACCCUUUGUGUGAAAAUAUAUACACUGCUGGGAUAGCCAAGAUGUUUUCAGUGGCAGAGGGCAUUAGACAGCAAAGUAAAAUGUUUAUAUCAGCAUCUAUUGCUUUGAUUAGUUUGUGGGGGGGCUUUCAGAUGGUCACCACAUAGUCUGGUCACUCUGAGCCAAAAGGGAAACAAGAAAGGAGAAAGAAGGAAGAGAAAGCAAAAAAAAAUCAGCGUUCAGCAAUCAAAACUUGCACAGCUGCUGAAACAAGUCGGAUUUCCUCUUUACAGCACAUGCUUUUUGAUGUUUGGGAGCAGCCGGCCUGCAGCGUAUGUAAUGUACAGACAGAGCGUGCCGCUGGGCCUCUGUGUGUUCUUCACCUCGCGGGGGACUGGCCAGAGCGUUCCGUCGAGAGAGCCCCGCGCCUCACCUGAAGCCCGCGCGCCGAAGGUCUGGUCAACGCACUCGGACGAGCCGCCGGCUUCCGACUCGCAGGCUCGCACACCCCGAGGGGCUCUUCCCAAGAAAAACAAGAACAGGAGGGAUUUCUUCAUAUUCUCAAGGAUUCUCCGACAGCCUUGGCCGAGAGGCCGGGUGAGAUUCUGGAGGCAGCUGAACAAGAGAGACGGACCUUCCCGCUGUUUUCAGCAGGAAUUCUAAAACGAUUCUGUUUGUUAUUGUUCACAUUGUCUUUUUGACAGGUUGACUUCUUCCAUCUUUAGACUUGGGAGGUCCUGUUGAAAUCAGCAUCCAGGAGAUGUGAUUGUCUGCUGCACACUUUCUCUUCCAGACCGGGAUUUUGAUCCUUGCGCUGGAAGCUUUCAAAACCAGGCAAUGCAGGCAGCUAGCUGUGCAAGAAGAGUCUGUAGCACCAGAGGCGCAGCUGAGUCCAGAUCUGCAUCACUGAAAAAGAAAAGCAAGUUUCAAUCUAUGCAUCCGUUUUCUAACCUCUUCUAAUUCAGGAUCAGAGGGGAGCUGGCACCUAUCCCAGCCAGCAAUGGGUGACAGGCAGGGUGCCAGUCCAUC